UACGUAGGGCGCAAGCGUUGUCCGGAAUUAUUGGGCGUAAAGGGCGCGUAGGCGGUUACUCAAGUCGGAUGGGAAAGCCCUCGGCUUAACUGAGGAAGUGCACCCGAAACUGAGUAGCUAGAGUACUAAAGAGGGUCGCGGAAUUCCCGGUGUAGAGGUGAAAUUCGUAGAUAUCGGGAGGAACACCGGUGGCGAAGGCGGCGACCUGGGUAGAUACUGACGCUGAGGCGCGAAAGCGUGGGGAGCAAACAGG
This 253-nucleotide ribosomal RNA is filed under the name uncultured bacterium. RNAcentral describes it as "partial 16S ribosomal RNA". It matches the Rfam family "Bacterial small subunit ribosomal RNA", at positions 524 to 776 of the family's 1533-position model. The record is from RNAcentral.